CCGGCGCACGGGUGAGUAACACGUAUCCAACCUGCCGUCUACUCUUGGCCAGCCUUCUGAAAGGAAGAUUAAUCCAGGAUGGGAUCAUGAGUUCACAUGUCCGCAUGAUUAAAGGUAUUUCCGGUAGACGAUGGGGAUGCGUUCCAUUAGAUAGUAGGCGGGGUAACGGCCACCUAGUCAACGAUGGAUAGGGGUUCUGAGAGGAAGGUCCCCCACAUUGGAACUGAGACACGGUCCAA
Molecule: ribosomal RNA, 239 nt
Filed under: uncultured bacterium
Lineage: Bacteria
Description: partial 16S ribosomal RNA
Rfam family: Bacterial small subunit ribosomal RNA
Source: RNAcentral